This 271-nucleotide ribosomal RNA is filed under the name uncultured bacterium. RNAcentral's name for it is "partial 16S ribosomal RNA". It matches the Rfam family "Bacterial small subunit ribosomal RNA", at positions 524 to 792 of the family's 1533-position model. The record is from RNAcentral.
UACGGAGGUGGCAAGCGUUGCUCGGAAUCACUGGGCGUAAAGGGCGCGUAGGCGGGGAGGUAAGUCGGGUGUGAAAUCCCUCGGCCCAACCGAGGAACUGCGCCCGAGACUGCUUCUCUUGAGUCCCGGAGAGGAAGAUGGAAUUCCCGGUGUAGCGGUGAAAUGUGUAGAGAUCGGGAGGAACACCGGUGGCGAAGGCGGUCUUCUGGACGGUGACUGACGCUGAGGCGCGAAAGCGUGGGGAGCAAACGGGAUUGAGAUACCCGGUGUA